GCGGUCGUAGCUCAGCUGGAUAGAGCAUCUGCCUCCUAAGCAGGGGGUCGCGCGUUCGAAUCGCGCCGAUCGCA
This 74-nucleotide transfer RNA is filed under the name Selenomonas sputigena ATCC 35185. It matches the Rfam family "tRNA". Rfam says of the family: Transfer RNA (tRNA) molecules are approximately 80 nucleotides in length. Their secondary structure includes four short double-helical elements and three loops (D, anti-codon, and T loops). Further hydrogen bonds mediate the characteristic L-shaped molecular structure. tRNAs have two regions of fundamental functional importance: the anti-codon, which is responsible for specific mRNA codon recognition, and the 3' end, to which the tRNAs corresponding amino acid is attached (by aminoacyl-tRNA synthetases). tRNAs cope with the degeneracy of the genetic code in two manners: having more than one tRNA (with a specific anti-codon) for a particular amino acid; and 'wobble' base-pairing, i.e. permitting non-standard base-pairing at the 3rd anti-codon position. Lineage: Bacteria; Bacillati; Bacillota; Negativicutes; Selenomonadales; Selenomonadaceae. The record is from Rfam by way of RNAcentral.